GAGUUUGAUCUUGGCUCAGAUUGAACGCUGGCGGCAUGCCUUACACAUGCAAGUCGAACGGCAGCAUGAUCUAGCUUGCUAGAUUGAUGGCGAGUGGCGAACGGGUGAGUAAUACAUCGGAACGUGCCCUGUAGUGGGGGAUAACUAGUCGAAAGAUUAGCUAAUACCGCAUACGACCUGAGGGUGAAAGUGGGGGACCGCAAGGCCUCAUGCUAUAGGAGCGGCCGAUGUCUGAUUAGCUAGUUGGUGGGGUAAAGGCCCACCAAGGCGACGAUCAGUAGCUGGUCUGAGAGGACGAUCAGCCACACUGGGACAGAGACACGGCCCAGACUCCUACGGGAGGCAGCAGUGGGGAAUUUGGACAAUGGGCGAAAGCCUGAUCCAGCAAUGCCGCGUGUGUGAAGAAGGCC
Molecule: ribosomal RNA, 410 nt
Filed under: uncultured microorganism
Description: bacterial SSU rRNA
Rfam family: Bacterial small subunit ribosomal RNA
Source: RNAcentral